UGUCUAGGGGUUCAAACCUAAAGAACCCAAAUAUCUAAACGGAGAAAUUCAAUACUGCUUUUCGGAGCGGUGUGCACUUUUCUCUUAGUAAGACGUUGUGAUCCAUUAGGAAACGAGUUUUCAUCUAAAAUUGAUUUCUCAAUAGGCUACCAAUAGGCGGGCGAUGAAGUUCACAUUGAAAAACAACACGAUCCUCUGGUUGGGUAUAUUUUCUUGUGAGCAUUGCCAUGUUCUGAUGUAGCUGCCUGAUGGUUUUUAAAGGCCACAUCACUAAUGCUUGCAUUACCCRUCUUCGGAYGGGUGUAAAGAUGUGUGCCCGAUCAACAACGGUUUCAUUUGGGAUACCUUUUGGACCCGUCUUGAAACACGGACCAAGGAGUCUAUCUAGUAUGCGAGUAAAUGAGCUUUAAAAACUUAUUUGCAUAAAUAACUUGACUGUAAUUUAAUGGGACUACGUGUACAUYUACUGCAAAGUGUGUGCACCUCCAUCCCGGAGUAUUUUCAUAACAUAUGCGUGCCUCGUGUGCGCAUAUAGAAAAUAUAUCAUGAGCAUACUGGACAUGACCCGAAAGAUGGUGAACUAUGCCUGAUCAGGUUGAAGUCAGGGGAAACCCUGAUGGAGGACCGAAGCAAUUCUGACGUGCAAAUCGAUUGUCAGAAUUGGGCAUAGGGCGCGAAAGACCAAUCG
This 688-nucleotide ribosomal RNA is filed under the name Zavrelimyia cingulata. Its description in RNAcentral is "partial 28S ribosomal RNA". The record is from RNAcentral. Lineage: Eukaryota; Metazoa; Arthropoda; Insecta; Diptera; Chironomidae.